CAGGUGUAUACGUCACGGGUGGCGGCGGGUUUGUUUUCGAACUAGCGUCACAAGUUAGCGGAUAAAGUUUGGCAAUAACUCACCCGUGGCGGCGACC
RNAcentral lists this small RNA (97 nucleotides) under Drosophila erecta. RNAcentral's name for it is "GG26616". Lineage: Eukaryota; Metazoa; Arthropoda; Insecta; Diptera; Drosophilidae. The record is from RNAcentral.